GUUCAAAGCAGGCAGAUCCAAUUUUCUGCCACCGAAUACAUUAGCAUGGGAUAAUGGAAUAGGACCCUGUCCUCCUAUUUUCAGUUGGUUUUGGCAGCGCGAGGACUAGGGUAAUGAUUAAUAGGGAUAGUUGGGGGCAUUAAUAUUUAAUUGUCAGAGGUGAAAUUCUUGGAUUUAUGAAAGAUUAACUUCUGCGAAAGCAUCUGCCAAGGAUGUUUUCAUUAAUCAAGAACGAAAGUUAGGGGAUCGAAGACGAUCAGAUACCGUCGUAGUCUUAACCAUAAAMGAUGCCGACCAGCGAUUAGGAGACGUUGAAUACAAAACACCACCAUCGGCGCGGUCGUCCUUGGCGUCUCUGUCCCUUCAACGGGGGCAGGCGCGAGGGCGGUU
This 390-nucleotide ribosomal RNA is filed under the name Acanthamoeba sp. SGC-1. RNAcentral's name for it is "SSU rRNA". It matches the Rfam family "Eukaryotic small subunit ribosomal RNA", at positions 784 to 1088 of the family's 1831-position model. Lineage: Eukaryota; Discosea; Longamoebia; Acanthamoebidae. The record is from RNAcentral.